Long non-coding RNA from Eubalaena glacialis (North Atlantic right whale), 365 nucleotides. RefSeq lists it as uncharacterized. The record is from RefSeq and is a predicted model, not a curated record. The transcript is spliced from 3 exons. Lineage: Eukaryota; Metazoa; Chordata; Mammalia; Artiodactyla; Balaenidae.
GAAGCAUUGUGGCUGGAGUAUCCUGAAGAGCAGGAGAGGGAACGCAGAAAAGCCUGUAUGGGCUCCCGGCGACCGCCGGAGCACUGGCUAGGAGGCCACCGCGAUCGUGCAGGAGAGAGCUGCUGGGGGCUUAGACCCAGGCUGUGAGAAGUGGGCUGAUUCUGGAUUCAUCUAGAAGACAGAGAACACAGGAUUUCCUAACGGAACGGAAUGGAUGAAAAAAACAAACACCCCAGCACCCCCUCUGGACAGACACUGCCACGCAGAAGGUCAACUUGGAAGUGAAUGGUUCCUUGAGCCCCUUAGAAACAGGAACCUCACUCAACAGGAUGCAUCCCUGAGCCAGGGCUUCUGGCUUAGCAAGA